Molecule: long non-coding RNA, 418 nt
Organism: Polypterus senegalus (gray bichir)
Lineage: Eukaryota; Metazoa; Chordata; Cladistia; Polypteriformes; Polypteridae
Exons: 5
Source: RefSeq, a predicted model, not a curated record
UGCAUAAAACUAUUUGUUAAACUUGUAAUUUCACUUGUAGUUUUGGACUUUCACAUGUGUUUUUUUUCCUUCCUCCUUUUCAUAGGACAUCCCAAAGCAGCCUACUAGUUCAGUAGACUCUGGAAUUUACAUGUUGAUGUAUGCACUUUAUCUAUCUGACCAUGGAGGAACCCUUUGAUUUUACUGCUGAUGACAUGCCUGCCAUUAGAAAGUGGUGAUGUUUGGUUGUUCUGGAGAACAGCUCGUAUGGGUGGACCAAGAAGAUCAUGGCAGCAGUGAACUCGUUGAGGAAUAUACUGAUACAGCCACACCAAGUGAGAGGGAAGAGUUUGACAUACUUGUUUUACAACAGUUGGAAGCACAAGGAAAGCACCACUGAGGCAUUUAAACUCGGGAUUACAUCUCAACCCGACUCAAA